AGUGAACGCUGGCGGCGUGCCUAAUACAUGCAAGUCGAACGGAGUGGCGCACGGGUGAGUAAUGUAUAGCUAAUAUGUCAUACACUAGAGGACAACAGUUGGAAACGACUGCUAAUACUCUAUAGUGUAGGAUGAGGCUAUAUUGUAUCAGCUAGUUGGUGAGGUAAUGGCUCACCAAGGCUAUGACGCAUAACUGGUCUGAGAGGACGAUCAGUCACCCUCGAACUGAGACACGGUCCAGACUCCUACGGCAGGCAGCACUAGGGAAUAUGGCUCAAUGGGUGAAACCCUGAAGCUGCUUCGCCGCUUCGAGGAUGACACUUUUCGGAUCGUAAACUCCUUUUUUUAGGCAAGCGGUACCUAACGAAUAAGCACCGGCUAACUCCGUGCCAGCAGCCGCGGUAAUAC
This 408-nucleotide ribosomal RNA is filed under the name uncultured bacterium. Its description in RNAcentral is "partial 16S ribosomal RNA". It matches the Rfam family "Bacterial small subunit ribosomal RNA", at positions 29 to 526 of the family's 1533-position model. The record is from RNAcentral.